GAGGAAACUCUGGUGGAGGCUCGAAGCGGUGCUGACGUGCAAAUCGCUCGUCAAAUUUGAGUAUAGGGGCGAAAGACUAAUCGAACCAUCUAGUAGCUGGUUUCCUCCGAAGUUUCUCUCAGGAUAGCAGUCCCAAAAUAGGUUGUUGUGUGCGGUAAAGCGAAUGAUUAGCAUACUCGGGGGUGUAAAACCUUCGGAUGAUUCUCAAACUUUAAAUGCGCACGGGUACUGCCGCUUAGAUUGGCCAGUAUCAUUAAAAACUUGGGGCUUGUGGGCCAUUUUUGGUAAGCAGAACUGGCGAUACGGGAUGAACCGUAAGCAUGGUUAAGGCGUCAAAGUGUCCGCUUAAAGAUCCCAAAAAAGGUGUUGAUUCAUCGAGACAGCAGGACGGUGGCCAUGGAAGUCGGAAUCCGCUAAGGAGUGUGUAACAACUCACCUGCCGAAUGAAUUAGCCCUGAAAAUGGAUGACGCUAAAGCGGUCCGCCGACACCAUGCCGUUUAUGCAAAAAUAGGAAAGAUAAAAAAUAACAUAAAAAAAAAACUAAAAAAGAAUACUUUUAGAAAAAUAAGAAAAAUACGCUUAAAUGAGUAGGAGGAACAUGGUGGUUGUACCGAAGCGUGCGUGCAAACGGGCGUGGAACGGCCACUAGUGCAGAUCUUGGUGUAAGUAGCAAAUAUUCAAGUGAGAACCUUGAAGGGCGAAGCGGGGAAGGGUUCCACGCGAACAUUGAUUGGGCGUGGGUGAGUCGUUCCUAAGCCGCGUGGCAAUAGCUAUAUUAACGGCGAAAGGGAAGCAGGUUGAAAUUCCUGCACACGGAUGUGGUUAGCGGUGACGCAUAAUUUAAAAAUGAGGAGGCGGUGAAGCUGGCGGUGGCUCUGGGCAGAGAUUUCUUUUCUGUUUAACUGAGUUUUGAAUUCCGUAGUGUGGAAUCCGCUUGUCGGGAGAAACACACGGGUUCAGGAAUAGCGCCGGGAUUUUUUCCGGGCGUCCAGAUCGCCAUCGUCGGACCUUGAAAAACUGCCUGCAGGCGCAAGCCUAUAAAAAAAAAUUUUA
RNAcentral lists this ribosomal RNA (1054 nucleotides) under Claudea batanensis. RNAcentral describes it as "partial large subunit ribosomal RNA". It matches the Rfam family "Eukaryotic large subunit ribosomal RNA", at positions 855 to 1834 of the family's 3401-position model. Lineage: Eukaryota; Rhodophyta; Florideophyceae; Ceramiales; Delesseriaceae. The record is from RNAcentral.